AACGUAGGUGGCUAGCGUUGCCCGGAAUCACUGGGCGUAAAGAGCGUGUAGGCGGCCAGGUAGGUCUGCUGUGAAAACUCGAGGCUCAACCUCGAGACGUCGGCGGAAACCAUCUGGCUAGAGUCCGGAAGAGGAGAGUGGAAUUCCUGGUGUAGCGGUGAAAUGCGCAGAUAUCAGGAAGAACACCCGUGGCGAAGGCGGCUCUCUGGGACGGUACUGACGCUGAGACGCGAAAGCGUGGGGAGCGAACAGG
Molecule: ribosomal RNA, 253 nt
Filed under: uncultured bacterium
Lineage: Bacteria
Description: partial 16S ribosomal RNA
Rfam family: Bacterial small subunit ribosomal RNA
Source: RNAcentral